RNAcentral lists this long non-coding RNA (1139 nucleotides) under Macaca fascicularis (crab-eating macaque). RNAcentral's name for it is "lncRNA (ENSMFAG00000057246.1)". The record is from RNAcentral. Lineage: Eukaryota; Metazoa; Chordata; Mammalia; Primates; Cercopithecidae.
UUUUUUUUUUUUUUUUUUUGAGACGGAGUCUUACUCUGUCACCUGGGCUGGAGUGCAGUGGCACGAUCUUGCCUCACUGCAACCUCCGCCUCCCAGGUUCAAGUGAUUCUCCUGCCUCAGCCUCCCGAGUAGCUGGGAUUAAAGGGGCCCACCAUUACGCCCAGUGAAUUUUUUGCAUUUUUAGUAGAGAUGGGGUUCCACCAUGUUGUUCAGGCUGGUCUCGAACCCCUAACCUUGUGGUUCACCCACCUCGGCCUUUGCCAAAGUGCUGGAAUUACAAGUGUGAGCCACCAUGCCUGGCCUAAAUCACAUCUUUUAACAAAAGAUUCCCUCCAAGCAUACGGUCAUGGUCUUUUAAAAUAUGUAUACAAAUACGUACACCAAUAAAAGGAACUACAGACCUCUCCUGCACAACUUCCAUAAUACAUUCUUGAGAAACAGACAUUCUUUGAGAAAACAGUAACUGAAAGUCAAUUUCCAUUAUUUGUAGUGGAAAAAGUUAAAAUGUGCUAUAUACUAACCCCAAACCACCAACUAAAUUAUUAAAACACAGUAAGACUCCUCUAUAUAAAUAACAAACUAGUAAAUUAGAAUAUAAACUGCUUAAAACAUCAAUUUUUAAUUAUCGAAGAGUUAAUAUUGCAGUUAACACAUGCAGUUGCUUUGUGUGGAGUACCACGGCCUUAACAUCAGCAGCCUUUGACAUGCCAUUCUGAUACCAAUGAUAUUUGGAACAUAACAUGAGCUUUUUCCCAUAGACUAAUGAGUUUGGGGGAACAAUUUUUUUUUUUUUCCUUUACAAACAUCGGCUAAAUAACGUUGUUCUGAGGAGAUAUGUGUGUCUGGUGAUUGAAAACCAGAGGUCUUUUAGGAAAAAUGAUCACCAGGGAGACCUCUACCAGAGAGUGCCUAUGUGGCCAUUGUCACUCGUAAUGCAAUCAUCUACCCCAAUUGUUUUCUCUCUUCCUGGAGAGCAGCAAGCCCAAAAUGAAUGACCCCACGAUUGCAGCAGCACCCAGCCACUGCCAUCGGUCUUUGUUUCCCGGAGUAGUAGUAACAAACUGCUACAAACUUGGUGGCUGAAAACAACAGAACUUUAUUCUCUUACAGUUCUGGAAACCAGAAGUCCUAAAUCAAGG